Molecule: transfer RNA, 75 nt
Filed under: Staphylococcus aureus H32181
Lineage: Bacteria; Bacillati; Bacillota; Bacilli; Caryophanales; Staphylococcaceae
Description: tRNA-Gln
Rfam family: tRNA
About the family: Transfer RNA (tRNA) molecules are approximately 80 nucleotides in length. Their secondary structure includes four short double-helical elements and three loops (D, anti-codon, and T loops).
Source: RNAcentral
UGGGCUAUAGCCAAGCGGUAAGGCAACGGACUUUGACUCCGUCACUCGUGGGUUCGAUUCCUACUGCCCCUGCCA